GACGAACGCUGGCGGCGUGCCUAAUACAUGCAAGUCGAGCGGACUUUCAAGAAGCUUGCUUUUUGAAAGUUAGCGGCGGACGGGUGAGUAACACGUGGGCAACCUGCCUGUAAGACGGGGUUAACUCCGGGAAACCGGGGCUAAUACCGGAUAAUAUCUUUCUUCGCAUGAAGGAAGGUUGAAAGGCGGCGCAAGCUGCCGCUUGCAGAUGGGCCCGCGGCGCAUUAGCUAGUUGGUGAGGUAACGGCUCACCAAGGCGACGAUGCGUAGCCGACCUGAGAGGGUGAUCGGCCACACUGGGACUGAGACACGGCCCAGACUCCUACGGGAGGCAGCAGUAGGGAAUCUUCCGCAAUGGACGAAAGUCUGACGGAGCAACGCCGCGUGAGCGAAGAAGGUCUUCGGAUCGUAAAGCUCUGUUGUCAGGGAAGAACAAGUACCGUUCGAAUAGGGCGGUACCUUGACGGUACCUGACCAGAAAGCCACGGCUAAUUACGUGCCAGCAGCCGCAGUAA
RNAcentral lists this ribosomal RNA (515 nucleotides) under uncultured bacterium. Its description in RNAcentral is "partial 16S ribosomal RNA". It matches the Rfam family "Bacterial small subunit ribosomal RNA", at positions 28 to 523 of the family's 1533-position model. The record is from RNAcentral.